Long non-coding RNA from Phyllopteryx taeniolatus (common seadragon), 1247 nucleotides. RefSeq lists it as uncharacterized. The record is from RefSeq and is a predicted model, not a curated record. Lineage: Eukaryota; Metazoa; Chordata; Actinopteri; Syngnathiformes; Syngnathidae. The transcript is spliced from 3 exons.
CGCCACUCAGCGAGCAGAUGGACCCGAAGAUCUUUCCGGCAAUGGUCUUUGGCACCAUGUCUCCGUACCUGUAGAUGAUGUGGAUUGUGUUCAGAAUAUGUGCACACUCAAACCUCAAUGGUGUUUAUAGACCACCCCGGGGCCAGUUUAAAACAGACAGACGGAUAUACUGGUCAUUGAAACUUCUCCACUCCUCCCAACUCAUCAGUACAGCACUAAUACGAGCCGUUUUUCUCAGAGGAUAACAAAUACGUGACUUCUUUGUCAGAAGCGCGGAAGGAACAGCAUGCGCUGGGCAGAUGAUGUGAUGAAAAUCAAAUCAAAUGAGAGAAGAAGAAGAAGAAGAAGAAGAAGAAGAAGAAGAAGAAGGAAGAGGAAGAGGCACUGUGGAGCCAAAGAAAUCCCGGGAGACGGAAAGGAAGCAGCAGCAGAGUCACACUUUGUUACAACGGCGAUGAAGAUCAUCAACUAUCGCUGUCGCAAGGGCAACCAAAGGACGAUGAAAUGUUUGUGUUAUUGUUGCCUUGACAGGUGUAAAGAGCUCACACUGUAAUUUGUCAUUUUUAUUUAUUUCAGCAAGAUUGAUGACUUGAACGCCAGAACGUGAAAAUCCGCUGUAAACAUAUCAAGGAGCACAGUUACUGGACCUGCAAGUCAUCAAUCACCCGUACACACACAGCAGUUUACCUCUUAAGCCUUACUUCAAUAACAUAUUCAUUUUCCUUCAGAAUACUUUUUAAAAAAAAAAAAACAGGCGGGACGUCACAUUUGUGUCUCGUUACCUUUAGAUGCAUGAGUGACUGGAAUCUACAGUUUUCCAUCGGUGGGUCAAAAAUGGGUCAAUUAUUUCUAAUUGACAGUGCAGAAAAUGCACAAACAUAAAUUGAUCAUGAUUUACUUGCUGGUUUGGGCCGUAACGUCAGAAAAUAGGCAAAAAUGUUGAUCAUUAUUUCCAAAGUAAAAAAAAUAAAAAUAAUAAUUUGCAUAUCUAUUUUGCGUAUCAUAUUAGCAUGUUUAUUUUGAUGAAACAAAGUUAUUAUUAUGAUAAAUAUAAUGAUGAAUAUUUACUUUUGGAAGGCUGAAUUUGGGCUAUUUGAAGUUAAACAAGGUCUCUAAAUGAAUAGUCAAUAAUCAAAAAUUGUUGAUUAGUCGAUUAAUCAUAGCAGCUCUUAACACAACACUUCUGUUUUUUUUUUUUCAAUUCGUGGCAAUUCCAUGUCAAAGAAGUAAUUAAAUAGGAACACAGA